This 459-nucleotide ribosomal RNA is filed under the name uncultured bacterium. Its description in RNAcentral is "partial 16S ribosomal RNA". It matches the Rfam family "Bacterial small subunit ribosomal RNA", at positions 338 to 795 of the family's 1533-position model. The record is from RNAcentral.
CCUACGGGUGGCAGCAGUGAGGAAUAUUGGUCAAUGGGCGCGAGCCUGAACCAGCCAAGUCGCGUGAGGGAAGACGGUCCUAUGGAUUGUAAACCUCUUUUGUCGGGGAGCAAAAGACGCCACGCGUGGCGUUCCGAGAGUACCCGAAGAAAAAGCAUCGGCUAACUCCGUGCCAGCAGCCGCGGUAAUACGGAGGAUGCGAGCGUUAUCCGGAUUUAUUGGGUUAAAAGGGUGCGCAGGCGGAAGAUCAAGACAGCGGUAAAAUUGAGAGGCUCAACCUCUUCGAGCCGUUGAAACUGAUGUUCUUGAGUGGGCGAGAAGUAUGCGGAAUGCGUGGUGUAGCGGUGAAAUGCAUAGAUAUCACGCAGAACUCCGAUUGCGAAGGCAGCAUACCGGCGCCCAACUGACGCUGAAGCACGAAAGCGUGGGUAUCGAACAGGAUUAGAUACCCCAGUAGUC